UACGAAGGAUCCAAGCGUUAUCCGGAUUUAUUGGGUUUAAAGGGUGCGUAGGUGGCUUAUUAAGUCAGUGGUGAAAGCCCGGAGCUUAACUCCGGAACUGCCAUUGAUACUGAUGAGCUUGAAUAUAGUUGAGGUGGGCGGAAUGUGUCAUGUAGCGGUGAAAUGCUUAGAUAUGACACAGAACACCAAUUGCGAAGGCAGCUCGCUAAACUAUUAUUGACACUGAGGCACUAAAGCGUGGGGAUCAAACAGG
This 253-nucleotide ribosomal RNA is filed under the name uncultured bacterium. Its description in RNAcentral is "partial 16S ribosomal RNA". It matches the Rfam family "Bacterial small subunit ribosomal RNA", at positions 524 to 776 of the family's 1533-position model. The record is from RNAcentral.